CCACUCUGUUAAAUAAGCAUUAGGAAGAAUGAAACGGUACUCACCAUUGUCAUCGCCAAUACUCGGAAGAUUAUCCAUGAGGUUGCUUUGAUCGAAAGAGACGGGGCUCUGUUUAUGCUCCAUCAUCUUUUCCUCUAUUGCUUCAUCUCACUAAAUAAGAAACAAGUAGACGAAAAAGCUCCUAUACAGGCAAUCCAUUUAAUUAUAAUUGAAGUAGUAACAUCAAUAUCUGAUGUUACACUGUAGAAAUACAUUCAUAUCAGUGCAGAGCGGGUCAUCUUAGACUCUGGAAAAAAUUAGCAUCCAUGAGGACUAGGGUAAAAUUACGUAGAUACUUCUUGUGGUUUUGUAUAAUAUGACAAUGAAAUAAUUUAACUGAACUAAAUUUAAUUUUAAAAGGAUCUGCUUAUUUAGAAAAAUCAUUUUAUUCUGAUAAUCAAUGCUCUCAAAUCAAUUAUGAACUCAAUUAUUUGAAAUAAGUAACUUUUGCAACUUAAAAUACUUUAUUAUAAGCACUCCAAAUAAAAUUUAUGAACUAAUAUAAAUUAAUGAAUGCUUAUUUUUUGAAAUAAGUUUUUCGCUCACCAAGUUAUAGACUGCAAACUAGGUCAAACGGUACGAUCUUCGCCACCUUCUUACGUUCAAGUAUCAAGUUUAGAAUCUCAUACUAGUCCGAUACAUCGUAUCUUUUUGUAGAGUUGCCUCAAGUGUCAUUACUAUCAUUGGGAAUACAGAGUAACUAAUAGUAACUUGAUGUCUUUGAUUUUCAACCUCAUAAUCCCAAUUAAAGUCUAAUUACGUGUAACUCCUUUACAUGAGUUAUUUUAAUACAAAAUCCCCAACAUUUGAAACAUUUUCAUACUAAAAAAUCCAUGAAGAUCAAAAUAUUGACAAAAAUAACACUAUGCUUCCAAACUAUUGUAAUAGGGCAUCAGUUUCUGUAUAUUGAACACUUUCACUAAAACUUUGACAAAAUAGCUCUUUUUGGGCAUAAUUUCGAAGUGGAAUCGAUGUGGGAAUUUUGCACGAAAAUGGAAGAAAAUAUAUAGUAUAUUGAAUAUCACAUCAAGUGAGACUAGUUUUUUGGAUGAUUUUAAUCCUAUACAAUUCAAUUAUUUAAAUAAUACAUUACUUUUCGUUUUUCAAUAUGUAAUAAAUGCUACAAAUUUCUUAUCAAAUAUGAAUUUCAUGUUAUUAAUUUUCAAUUAAUUAACAUUUAAUUAAUCUAGAUUCAAUGAAUUUUGAUUUGAUAAAUCUUGAUCUACAGAAAUCAUCAAAGUUGAGUUUUGAGAGUACUUCUCUUAAAUUUCUAUCCUAAAUUUAUUUUCUUUAAUUCAUUUGAAACUUAUUAAAUCCUCCCAACAAAUUAAUAUCAACUGUUACUUUUAUAAGACCUAUAAAGUAUUUCAGAAUAACAUGUUCAACUCUAACUCGUAAGUUAAAAAUACCCAAAUCAAACCUCAAAUCAUCAUCUCACUCUAAUACAUCAUAAAUCGAGUAUUGGCAUCAUAUACACACAAUAAAUUUAAAUGUUGAAGUUCUGAUUUACAAAUCCAUUUCAUAUUUUCACUUCAACACUAAUAUUCCAAUAUACAUUAUUAUUUGCAAUAUUAUUGUUUAAUACCUCAAAUACAUAUCAAUAAUCUUCAGUUCUUGCUAAACUUAGAAUAUAAGCAAAUUGUCCCUAAACCUUAAAAUCAAACCUCUUUUUUCAAUAAGUAAACAUAUUGCUCACCUCUAGAAAUUGAAGAACCUGAACUCAUUAAUGUUUAGCUGUUGUCUCUUUCUUUCUUCUUCUUCUUCUCUUUUUCUUUCCUUUCUUUCCUUUCUCUCGUUUUUCUCUGCUUCUAUUACCUCUUUACAAAUGACGAAAGGUACCAAAUGAGAUUUAAGCAAAACAAUAUCUUAACUUGCAAAUAACUUCCAAGUUAAGAUAACUUCCUUUAUCUCUUGGCUGAAAAAUUGAUAAAAAGAAAAAAGUUAAGUCCCAUAACAUGUACAAUCAAAAAUGAAUUUAAGAAAAAGACAAAAAAAAAAAAAAAAAAAGGAACAGCGACUGGUUUACACAAAUUAAUAAAGAACCUUUACACUAUAUUUUCUAUUUCAAUUAAAUCCAAGUUAACCACUUCUACUCGAUCUGACCUACAUUACAAUACUGAGUGUAACGAAGAAAAGUAUGAUCUUUACGAGUAUGAACAGAAGAACCCAAUAGUGAAUUGAAGAAGCUUCCUUAAUUCCUAGCUGGGACCUUUUUUGAGUUCAUUAGAACAAGAAAAAAUUCAUAAGGUAAAAGCUUUAUUCGCGAGAUGGAGAUUGACGUCUUGUACAAAAAUAAAAUUAUUGAAUUUCAUAGUUGAUGAUCAUGUAUGUUGUAUCGUUUAUAGUUUGUUGUUUGUUCUGAAUUUGUUUACAAACUGAAGCUGUAUUUUUUAUACUGAAUGUUAAAAAUUGACGACAAUUUGAUGCUCUUACGUUUCCAAGUAAAUAUGCUACUUAAUUUAGUCAUGGUUAUUAGGCUACAUUUACCUAAAAGACAUGUUUAAUUGCCGUCAAUUUUUAUCGUCCAAGUAGGAUUAGCACGUUUAGCAACAAGAGCUAAUGGAAAGAGUUGAUCGUCAAUAUUUGAACACCUUUGUAGCUUACGUCUAAGCACAUCCCACACCCAAAUACAUUCUUAUUAGCGACUCAUAUAAUUGUCGGAGUGCAUGUAGCUACCUCCCUCACCUUCAAAGAAGGCCACGUGCUGCAAAUGAUUUAUACAAGUGUGCAGGCAAUAUAUUAUGUGAACGUGAGUAUGAGGGGUACGGUGGAUUGGAGGAAGAUGACUAAUUUAUUUUGUUUUUUUCUUGGGUAAUUAAUUAUAUUUAUACCUUACUUUUUAUUUGGUGCAUCACAUUUUAAUUGCAAUAAAGAUACUCAAUCUUUUCUCAUUAUUGUAAUCAUAAACUUCUUUUAAUUAAUUAGCACAUGUUGCUUGGUGAAGAUAAAAAUAUGUUUAAAAAAGUAAUUAACUUAUACACUACAAUGGGAAAAGAUUAAGUAACCUUAAAUUCAAUUAAAAUAUAAAACAAAUAAUGAAAAUUGUUGGGCGAAUAUAAAUAACCUUAUAAUUAUCCAUUUAAUACUUUUUUGAUAUAUCUAACGUUAUAGACAAAUAAUAGUAUAAUCACAUGAAUUAUUUAACGGCCUACUUGGAUGGAAACCGUCGUUGAGAACAAAACUUGAUAAUCAACAAAAACUUUUGUAGAGUGCAAUGUCAAAAAGGAAAGAGCAACAAGAGGCAAACAAUGGGGAUAAAAUUAACCAUAUGGUACUAAAAUCAACCCAAAUAUUGGCUAAAUCAAUAAGACCAUAACAAAUUGUUAAUCACGGAAAAAAAAAAUGAUAGAAUUAAAAUUUCGAAAUAGGAUUUUCAUCAUUGUCCUAUCUAUUUGAAAAUUAGCUACUCGUGCUCAAACUGUAUAAAUACAUACUAGAAAAGGAGGACAUGACCCGGAUCGUUGAGAACAAAACUUGAUAAUCAACAAAAAGUUGAGCUUAAACUGCGACGUAAAAAGGAGAUAGCAAACGUGCUACAAGAGGCAAACAUUGGGGACAUCGAGUGCAAUUUAGCCAAAAUAAAAUAAGCAAUAGUUUAAGCAUGGAUGUUUCUAUUAACAUGAAUCUAGUAAGCAAGAACCCUUUAAAUCCCAUUUUACUACAGAAAAUUGAAUCUUACGGUAAACCACGCAAGACAGCUUGAAUAGAUAAUUCAACUUCAAUAAUGCAGUGAUCUUCAACUGAAAAUCCUUUAUAAGGGUUAUUUAUAUCAGCGACUAGAAUGCAACUAGGCCAUCCAUAACUGCUGCUUGAAGCCGAAAACCAGUGAUUUGCUGAAAAAAUAAAAUUAUUGAAUGCAGAUAUAAUGAUAACAAUUAGUAGCAUGAAGUUCAGUAACAGAAGAAAGUUGUUUUCUUACCGAGACGCUUGCUACUUGCUUUUCCAUACUUGUUCUUCAUGCAUAUGGAGAAAUGUGCCUUAAUUUUUUUUUUUUUUAAUUGCAUGAAAGAUUUAUAACAUUUAUUCAUUAUUAGAUUUGUCUCCAAUUUUUUCAUCACAUUCGGAUAUUUAAGGCCCUGUUUUAGCCCCAUUAUUUCAUUGUUAAAAUAAAAAAUAUGACAUUUAUCCAUCACAUUAAGCAACCAUAUUUGACUUUUUAUUUUUUGUGUGGGAUCCAUAAUGACUAUAUUUUUUAUUUUCAUUUUUAAAAUAAUGUAGCUCAAAUGGGGGCGUAACUUUUCAUCAAUUAGCACAUCUUGUCCUCAAUGACAGUUUCUAUUAAAAAAAUUCACUAAUGAGCAUUGAACUCUUCAGAAUACCAUUCAUUUUCCAAUUCCGAGAAUUUUGAAACCUCCAAUUCAUGCUUAUAGGAAUUAGUUGCUUUCAAGAUAGACAAGCACUCUCUAAUUCUUUCGUUCUUGACAACAAAAACCUCCGCUCCAAAUACACAAGUAUCAUUGACAAGGUAUCCAUUCCUUGGAUCCAUCAAAGUUUCCUUCUUGAUGAAUUUGGAAAAGCCCCACUCAAGGUUUAUAAUAUGAAAACGUCGUUGACCUGCACCGAGAGGGGAGCUACUUGAGAUUAAAUUUAUAGUAAAUGCUCUUUUAUUCUAUUUAGAAGUAGAUAAUACCUUUCUUAAACACAUAUUUGUCAAGUUUGUGAUUAAACAGAAAGAUGCUGACGACGGCAUUAUUCAAAUGGGGGCGUAACUUUUCAUCAAUUAGCACAUCUUGUCCUCAAUGACAGUUUCUAUUAAAAAAAUUCACUAAUGAGUAAAAAGACUAGUUUGCAAAUUGUAUUUUGAAUAAGCAAUAAAAAUAAAAAUUACAAAUACAAAAUGGAGAGUGAAUAUUCUCUCUCUCGUUUAAGAGCACGUUAAUACAAUUUUUGAACGAAAAUCUUCGUUAAGGAUUAUCUUUGCUAAUAAAUGAAAUGUUAAGAAUAAUACUAUGGUGAAAAAAAGUUAAAGGCAAAAAUGUGACACCGAUAACGGGUCAAAAACAAUGCAAUUAAAAUGUGAUGCACUUAUUAAAAAAAUGUGGUAUAUAUUUUACUAGGGCUAAACAACAACAAAAUUGAACCGAAACUGCUUUUUUAAAAUCGUUGGUUUAGAUCCACAUGGAUUCGUUAACGUUUAAAGUUCGAACCAAACCAAACCGUUUCGAAAUGAUUCGUUUUAGGUUUCAAUCUUUGCAAACCAUUUAUAAAAAAAAGUAAAUAAUAAUAAUAAUUUAAUUUAAAUUUGUUUCAACCAAAUUAAAAUUAAAUACAUCCAGUUAAAAUAAUAUAUUGAUAUUAGACACAAUCAAAUUAAACUCAACGCCUAAGUGAAUAGAUAUCAAUCCCAAUCAAAUCAUCCCCAAAUAUCCAUCAUUCAUUGCAAGUGUGAACGCAAAACCUUAAAUUGAAUGAAGUGUCGAAGAAUUCCUACUAAACCAUAUUCAUCAAUUGCUUAUUACAAUUGAGUAGACUAUUAAUUAUAGAUUUUAAUUCAAAAUUACACAUUAAAUGGUCGUUUUGAAGAUUUAACCAAUGAGUCUUAAUUGAAUGUAAAUAAAUACAAGAUUGUCCCCUUAAAUUGCUAAAGACGUGUUAGCUAUUCAAAUAUUCACAAUUCUUUUUGAAUUUGCAUUUCCUACUAGUAAUCAAAUUCUUGAUUCAGUUGGUGAGGUUGCUUUGAUCGAAAGAGACGGGGCUCUGUUUAUGCUCCAUCAUCUUUUCCUCUAUUGCUUCAUCUCACUAAAUAAGAAACAAGUAGACGAAAAAGCUCCUAUACAGGCAAUCCAUUUAAUUAUAAUUGAAGUAGUAACAUCAAUAUCUGAUGUUACACUGUAGAAAUACAUUCAUAUCAGUGCAGAGCGGGUCAUCUUAGACUCUGAAAAAAAUUCGCAUCCAUGAGGACUAGGGUAAAAUUAAAUAGAUACUUCUUGUGGUUUUGUAUAAUAUGACAAUGAAAUAAUUUAACUGAACUAAAUUUAAUUUUAAAAGGAUCUACUUAUUUAGAAAAAUCAUUUUAUUCUGAUAAUCAAUGCUCUCAAAUCAAUUAUGAACUCAAUUAUUUGAAAUGAGUAACU
This 6113-nucleotide long non-coding RNA is filed under the name Olea europaea (common olive). Its description in RNAcentral is "long non-coding RNA (OEUR_LNC008153)". The record is from RNAcentral. Lineage: Eukaryota; Viridiplantae; Streptophyta; Magnoliopsida; Lamiales; Oleaceae.